RNAcentral lists this ribosomal RNA (466 nucleotides) under uncultured bacterium. RNAcentral describes it as "partial 16S ribosomal RNA". It matches the Rfam family "Bacterial small subunit ribosomal RNA", at positions 28 to 507 of the family's 1533-position model. The record is from RNAcentral.
GAUGAACGCUGGCGGCGUGCUUAACACAUGCAAGUCGAACGAUGAAGCCCAGCUUGCUGGGUGGAUUAGUGGCGAACGGGUGAGUAACACGUGAGUAACCUGCCCUUAACUCUGGGAUAAGCCUGGGAAACUGGGUCUAAUACCGGAUAGGAGCGUCCACCGCAUGGUGGGUGUUGGAAAGAUUUAUCGGUUUUGGAUGGACUCGCGGCCUAUCAGCUUGUUGGUGAGGUAAUGGCUCACCAAGGCGACGACGGGUAGCCGGCCUGAGAGGGUGACCGGCCACACUGGGACUGAGACACGGCCCAGACUCCUACGGGAGGCAGCAGUGGGGAAUAUUGCACAAUGGACGCAAGCCUGAUGCAGCGACGCCGCGUGAGGGAUGACGGCCUUCGGGUUGUAAACCUCUUUCAGUAGGGAAGAAGCGAAAGUGACGGUACCUGCAGAAGAAGCACCGGCUAACUACGUG